CCUACGGGUGGCUGCAGUGGGGAAUAUUGGACAAUGGGCGAAAGCCUGAUCCAGCAAUGCCGCGUGUGUGAAGAAGGCCUUCGGGUUGUAAAGCACUUUCAGUGGGGAAGAAAGCCUUGGGGCUAAUACCCUCGAGGAAGGACAUCACCCACAGAAGAAGCACCGGCUAACUCCGUGCCAGCAGCCGCGGUAAUACGGAGGGUGCGAGCGUUAAUCGGAAUUACUGGGCGUAAAGCGCGCGUAGGCGGUCUGAUAAGCCGGUUGUGAAAGCCCCGGGCUCAACCUGGGAACGGCAUCCGGAACUGUCAGGCUAGAGUGCAGGAGAGGAAGGUAGAAUUCCCGGUGUAGCAGUGAAAUGCGUAGAGAUCGGGAGGAAUACCAGUGGCGAAGGCGGCCUUCUGGACUUACACUGACGCUGAGGUGCGAAAGCGUGGGGAGCAAACAGGAUUAGAUACCCUAGUAGUC
Molecule: ribosomal RNA, 465 nt
Filed under: Vreelandella stevensii
Lineage: Bacteria; Pseudomonadati; Pseudomonadota; Gammaproteobacteria; Oceanospirillales; Halomonadaceae
Description: partial 16S ribosomal RNA
Rfam family: Bacterial small subunit ribosomal RNA
Source: RNAcentral